CGCGCCUGCGCAGUGCGCGUCCACGCCUGUCCACUGACCCGACUCCGCGCUGCUCGCUGCAAGACGCUGGGAGCUCCUCCGUGUUUGUGUGAAGUCUCUCCUCUUCAGACCUGAUUGCGUCCUUCUGUCAAGAGACAGAGCACCCCAGGCCAGCGCAACCGACAGGGGUUUGUUACCCACAGCUCGGACCGACACCGCGCCGGAGUCAAGGGGGCCGCGGGGCCCAGAGUCCUGGCUUCAUCCCGGGACAGAGAAGUUCGGCUGGUCAGUGUGACCCGGGAGGCUGCGCUGCUGACCCAAGUGAGCUUCCUCCAGGGCCCCUGGGAGAAAGCCCAGGAAACAGGGUUUGCCAAGAACUGUCUGAAAGGUUACAUCUCAGAGUGGCCGAGUUCCUGGGGCUCAGGCCCUCAUCACUGCUCUCACUGGCUCCAAGAAUGACCACCUCGAUCCUCCGGCCUCUGCAGGCUUGGGGUGGCCUGGCUGCCUUCUGACUCCGGCCCUGGGUGAUUCAUUUGUUGAAUGCGUCACCUGUUUGGCAAAGGACAAGAAGACUGAAGUAAGGGAGCCAAGCACCUGGCCCUGGGUGUGUGAGUGCCUGGUGACCCUUAGGAUCGGUGGCUCCUGUAGUCACGGGUUCCUGUAAGUCACGGGAGGUGCUGCACACCCAGCUUCCCUGCCAGGCUAAACCAAGUGGAAAGAAUAUCUCUGCUGACCGCACGUCAUCCACAGUCCCACAUUGUCGCAGAAACAGGAGGUUCCACGACAGAAGGGAGCGAGUGAGGAGACAAUAGAUCUGUUUCUAUGUACCAGGGUAGAGACCAAGAAGUGACAAGUGGUAACAGCUCUGUCUUUCUAAGGCACAGUUUUACGGACUUUGACCAAGACAGGCCAGCCGGACCACAUGUUGACACCAUGCACAGAUCCAGCUUUCAGGCACUGUGCGUCAGUGCUGAGGACCAACAGGCUGCGAGGCCCCUGAAGGAGCGGUGGGACCACGGGCAGCCACCCAAGCCAGCGCCCUCAUCUGCAGAGGGCCCACAGCGUGAAGACGAGGGAUGUAUGUGCGAAGUGCCUGAGAUAUGGCUGCACAGAGGACACUGACGUGGCAGCUCCUAGGGUGUUCACACCAACUCAGCCACCGUGCAAAUCCACAGUCAUCGUGGGCAAAGUCGAGGCAGUUUUAAAGAGGAACUUUCUGCUCAGUCCUACCCUAGUGCUCACCUGCCAUUCAUUUCUUUUCUAGUCUUCCUUUGUCCAACUUCCUUUUCAAAGCAGCUCACAUCCUCUAUUUCCCACUGACUGCAUUAGGUCUUCUGCCCUAACCUUUGCACCAAGGUCACCAAAUGCCCUGCAGCUUCCAAAUCUGACUGAGACGUCAUUGCUUAGCGUCUUCAAUUCCCCAGGUGUAAUUCAGUUUUAAUUUGAACUUCUCUCCUCCGUCAACUACCAUGACAACUAUCUGCCAUUCUGCACUUACCUCUCCAGCCUCUCCUUCCUGGCUCUCUGCAGUCGUUCUCAGCCCUAAUCCUAGUGUGUGUCCUGCAGAAACAACCUCAGCUCCACUGCGGCAGGACCCGUGUCUUCCUCUCCUCCGUUACAGUCUGGAGCCCCACGCACCUGCGGGCCAGCUCCUCAGACUCCACAGAGCUCCUCACCUCUUCCAUCCCACCUUGCUCCUGUUCCUCACCCCACCCCUCGCCCUGGGUGAGCCCCACCCUCCUCCACGACCCAGACUUCUCACAAAAGGACAUCACAGCACCUCCCAGCAGAAACCCUGCCAUUCUGUCCAGUUCCCAAAUCUAAAAUACCCCUAAACGCACCUCCUUCUCCCCAGAUCACAUCUCUCAUGUACACGCAUAGCCCAGCACACACUGAAUCAUCCCUGCACAACCAGCACCCAGGGCACAGAUCUCAAAUGUGUGCCUCAGCAAAGUCACCCAUCCCGUGCCACAGACAAAGCUGGCACUAGGGGCUCUGGCGGCAGAUGUUGCCUCUUACUUCAGUCUCCCCAGUCUCUGGCAUAAUGCACCCUGGCAGAGUCAAUACUUCCAGAAGUGUGGGGGAAAGACGGGGAGAGCACAGAGGAGUUCGGGUCCUUUCUCAGGAGAAUGACAGCAGAGAAGAGGGCGGGCUCUGCCUCAAGUGGAAGGAAGCACGUGAAACCUCACUAGUGACAUAGGCAGGGCUGAUGCUAUACAAGAAACAGCAAAACGACAGCACAUGUACCAGGCAGACCACAAGCCAGCA
This is a long non-coding RNA of Fukomys damarensis (Damara mole-rat), 2247 nucleotides long. RefSeq lists it as uncharacterized. NCBI's taxonomy places the organism in Eukaryota, Metazoa, Chordata, Mammalia, Rodentia, Bathyergidae. The transcript has 3 exons. The record is from RefSeq and is a predicted model, not a curated record.